This 858-nucleotide ribosomal RNA is filed under the name uncultured euryarchaeote. RNAcentral's name for it is "bacterial SSU rRNA". It matches the Rfam family "Archaeal small subunit ribosomal RNA", at positions 1 to 879 of the family's 1478-position model. Lineage: Archaea; Methanobacteriati; Methanobacteriota. The record is from RNAcentral.
UUCCGGUUGAUCCCGCCGGAGGCGACCGCUUUGGGAGUUCGAUUAAGCCAUGCGAGUCGUGAGUCUUAGGGACUCGGCAUACUGCUCAGUAACACGUGGAUAACCUGCCCUAUCGUCUGGAAUAACCUCGGGAAACUGAGAAUAAGGCCGGAUAGUUCACAAUGCCUGGAACGGUUUGUGAAUCAAGGUAGGAUGGGUCUGCGGCGUAUCAGGUUGUAGGGGGUGUAAAGGACCCCCUAGCCUUCGACGCGUACGGGUGUUGGGAGACAUAGCCCGGAGAUGGAUUCUGAGACACGAAUCCAGACCCUACGGGGUGCAGCAGGCGCGAAAACUUCACACUGCAGGAAACUGUGAUGAGGGAACUCCUAGUGCAUGCACUAUGUGUAUGUAGAUCCUACUCUUAACAAGUAGAGGGAAAGGGCUGGGAAAGACCGGUGCCAGCCGCCGCGGUAAUACCGGCAGCUCAAGUGGUCGUCGCUUUUAUUGGGCCUAAAACGUCCGUAGCCUGUUUGGUAAAUCUGUGGGUAAAUCAGUCCGCUCAACGGAUUGAAUUCUGCAGAGACUGCCAGACUAGGGACCGGGAGAGGUGUGGGGUACUCGAGGGGUAGGGGUAAAAUCCUGUCAUCCUUCGAGGACCACCAGUUGCGAAGGCGCCACACUGGAACGGAUCCGACGGUCAGGGACGAAGCCUAGGGGCACGAACCGGAUUAGAUACCCGGGUAGUCCUAGGUGUAAACGCUGUGAACUUGGUGUCKGGGGUCCGCAAGGGGUCCCCGGUGCCGGAGUGAAGAUGUUAAGUUCACUGCCUGGGGAGUACGGUCGCAAGGCUGAAACUUAAAGGAAUUGGCGGGGCAGCAC